CCUACGGGUGGCUGCAGUGGGGAAUAUUGGACAAUGGGGGGAACCCUGAUCCAGCCAUGCCGCGUGUGUGAAGAAGGCCCUCGGGUUGUAAAGCACUUUCAGUGAGGAAGAACGCCUGGUGGUUAAUACCCAUCAGGAAAGACAUCACUCACAGAAGAAGCACCGGCUAACUCCGUGCCAGCAGCCGCGGUAAUACGGAGGGUGCGAGCGUUAAUCGGAAUUACUGGGCGUAAAGCGCGCGUAGGUGGCUUGAUAAGCCGGUUGUGAAAGCCCCGGGCUCAACCUGGGAACGGCAUCCGGAACUGUCAAGCUAGAGUGCAGGAGAGGAAGGUAGAAUUCCCGGUGUAGCGGUGAAAUGCGUAGAGAUCGGGAGGAAUACCAGUGGCGAAGGCGGCCUUCUGGACUGACACUGACACUGAGGUGCGAAAGCGUGGGUAGCAAACAGGAUUAGGUACCCUGGUAGUC
This 465-nucleotide ribosomal RNA is filed under the name Vreelandella stevensii. RNAcentral describes it as "partial 16S ribosomal RNA". It matches the Rfam family "Bacterial small subunit ribosomal RNA", at positions 338 to 795 of the family's 1533-position model. Lineage: Bacteria; Pseudomonadati; Pseudomonadota; Gammaproteobacteria; Oceanospirillales; Halomonadaceae. The record is from RNAcentral.